This 253-nucleotide ribosomal RNA is filed under the name uncultured bacterium. RNAcentral describes it as "partial 16S ribosomal RNA". It matches the Rfam family "Bacterial small subunit ribosomal RNA", at positions 524 to 776 of the family's 1533-position model. The record is from RNAcentral.
UACGUAGGGUCCGAGCGUUGUCCGGAAUUAUUGGGCGUAAAGAGCUCGUAGGCGGUUUGUCGCGUCUGCUGUGAAAUCCCGAGGCUCAACCUCGGGCCUGCAGUGGGUACGGGCAGACUGGAGUGCGGUAGGGGAGAUCGGAAUUCCUGGUGUAGCGGUGAAAUGCGCAGAUAUCAGGAGGAACACCGGUGGCGAAGGCGGAUCUCUGGGCCGUAACUGACGCUGAGGAGCGAAAGCAUGGGGAGCGAACAGG